GUGCCAGCAGCCGCGGUAAUACGUAGGUGGCAAGCGUUAUCCGGAAUUAUUGGGCGUAAAGCGCGCGUAGGCGGUUUUUUAAGUCUGAUGUGAAAGCCCACGGCUCAACCGUGGAGGGUCAUUGGAAACUGGAAAACUUGAGUGCAGAAGAGGAAAGUGGAAUUCCAUGUGUAGCGGUGAAAUGCGCAGAGAUAUGGAGGAACACCAGUGGCGAAGGCGACUUUCUGGUCUGUAACUGACGCUGAUGUGCGAAAGCGUGGGGAUCA
This 266-nucleotide ribosomal RNA is filed under the name uncultured Staphylococcus sp. RNAcentral describes it as "partial 16S ribosomal RNA". It matches the Rfam family "Bacterial small subunit ribosomal RNA", at positions 505 to 770 of the family's 1533-position model. The record is from RNAcentral. Lineage: Bacteria; Bacillati; Bacillota; Bacilli; Caryophanales; Staphylococcaceae.